AAUGAAUAUAGUAAUGUCUAUUAUUGCUAUCAGUUUGAUUUUAACUUAUACAUGUUAUAUGUUCUAAAUAAAUGAUUUUUAAACUUGUAUAUAAAAGCUAUUUAAUAAUAUGUCUUUAUGUGGUAACAUAAAGUAUUUGAUUUUUUUCAGUGAGAACGUGCUAAAGUGCCUUUUUUAAAAACGCGCCCCUCUAUUUUCAAAUCCUAGCUGGAAC
RNAcentral lists this long non-coding RNA (214 nucleotides) under Mytilus galloprovincialis (Mediterranean mussel). The record is from RNAcentral. Lineage: Eukaryota; Metazoa; Mollusca; Bivalvia; Mytilida; Mytilidae.